This 422-nucleotide ribosomal RNA is filed under the name uncultured bacterium. RNAcentral describes it as "bacterial SSU rRNA". It matches the Rfam family "Bacterial small subunit ribosomal RNA", at positions 362 to 776 of the family's 1533-position model. The record is from RNAcentral.
UUUUGGACAAUGGGCGAAAGCCUGAUCCAGCAAUGCCGCGUGUGUGAAGAAGGCCUUCGGGUUGUAAAGCACUUUUGUCCGGAAAGAAAUCCUCUGGGUUAAUACCUCGGGGGGCUGACGGUACCGGAAGAAUGAGCACCGGCUAACUACGUGCCAGCAGCCGCGGUAAUACGUAGGGUGCAAGCGUUAAUCGGAAUUACUGGGCGUAAAGCGUGCGCAGGCGGUUUUGUAAGACGGAUGUGAAAUCCCCGGGCUUAACCUGGGAACUGCAUUCGUGACUGCAAGGCUAGAGUAUGGCAGAGGGGGGUAGAAUUCCACGUGUAGCAGUGAAAUGCGUAGAGAUGUGGAGGAAUACCGAUGGCGAAGGCAGCCCCCUGGGCCAAUACUGACGCUCAUGCACGAAAGCGUGGGGAGCAAACAGG